GAUGAACGCUGACAGAAUGCUUAACACAUGCAAGUCUUUGGCGAAGCUGUGCUUGCACAGCCUAGCCAAGGCGGACGGGUGAGUAACGCGUAAGGGACUUGCCCUGCAGUCAGGGAUAACAGACGGAAACGACUGAUAAAACCUGGUAAAGUCAGGCGGACUCAUGUCCAGCCUGAUGAAAAGGAAUGCUGCAGGAGAGCCUUGCGUCCUAUUAGCUCGUUGGUGGGGUAACGGCCCACCAAGGCGAUGAUAGGUAGCCGGCCUGAGAGGGUGGACGGCCACAAGGGGACUGAGAUACGGCCCUUACUCCUACGGGAGGCAGCAGUGGGGAAUAUUGGACAAUGGGGGCAACCCUGAUCCAGCAAUUCUGUGUGCACGAUGAAGGUCUUCGGAUUGUAAAGUGCUUUCAGCAGGGAAGAAAAAAAUGACGGUACCUGCAGAAGAAGCGACGGCUAAAUACGUGCCAGCAGCCGCGGUAAUACGUAUGUCGCGAGCGUUAUCCGGAAUUAUUGGGCAUAAAGGGCAUCUAGGCGGCCGGAUAAGUCUGGGGUGAAAACUUGCGGCUCAACCGCAAGCCUGCCCUGGAAACUAUGCGGCUAGAGUACUGGAGAGGUGGACGGAACUGCACGAGUAGAGGUGAAAUUCGUAGAUAUGUGCAGGAAUGCCGAUGAUGAAGAUAGCUCACUGGACGGUAACUGACGCUGAAGUGCGAAAGCUAGGGGAGCAAACAGG
This 732-nucleotide ribosomal RNA is filed under the name uncultured Leptotrichia sp. RNAcentral describes it as "bacterial SSU rRNA". It matches the Rfam family "Bacterial small subunit ribosomal RNA", at positions 28 to 776 of the family's 1533-position model. The record is from RNAcentral. Lineage: Bacteria; Fusobacteriati; Fusobacteriota; Fusobacteriia; Fusobacteriales; Leptotrichiaceae.